This 244-nucleotide long non-coding RNA is filed under the name Homo sapiens (human). Its description in RNAcentral is "HSALNT0341966". Lineage: Eukaryota; Metazoa; Chordata; Mammalia; Primates; Hominidae. The record is from RNAcentral.
AAAUCAAGCUGUAAGCCUGGUGUUCUGUAGAACAUUGUUUCUCUGUAGAGCGCCAAAAUAAACCUCCAGCAAAUCGUGGUGAUCCCCUUUAGAAGCAAUGAAAAAUCAUGGCUAGACUGCCUCAUCUGUGGUACAUGACGGCUGCCUAAUCUGCUUAGGCAGCUCAGCACGCACAGAUCCUAGAUCAGAGGCUUGAAUUCACCAAUCUGUGUACACACAGCUGGAUGCAAUACCCUUGGUUUUC